AUUGAACGCUGGCGGCAGGCCUAACACAUGCAAGUCGAACGGUAACAGGAAGCAGCUUGCUGCUUCGCUGACGAGUGGCGGACGGGUGAGUAAUGUCUGGGAAGCUGCCUGAUGGAGGGGGAUAACUACUGGAAACGGUAGCUAAUACCGCAUAAUGUCGCAAGACCAAAGAGGGGGACCUUCGGGCCUCUUGCCAUCGGAUGUGCCCAGAUGGGAUCAGCUUGUUGGUGGGGUAACGGCUCACCAAGGCGACGAUCCCUAGCUGGUCUGAGAGGAUGACCAGCCACACUGGAACUGAGACACGGUCCAGACUCCUACGGGAGGCAGCAGUGGGGAAUAUUGCACAAUGGGCGCAAGCCUGAUGCAGCCAUGCCGCGUGUAUGAAGAAGGCCUUCGGGUUGUAAAGUACCUUCAGCGGGGAGGAAGGGAGUAAAGUUAAUACCUUUGCUCAUUGACGUUACCCGCAGAAGAAGCACCGGCUAACUCCGUG
Molecule: ribosomal RNA, 490 nt
Filed under: uncultured bacterium
Lineage: Bacteria
Description: partial 16S ribosomal RNA
Rfam family: Bacterial small subunit ribosomal RNA
Source: RNAcentral